UACUUGAACUCUACCACUGUUUGUUGCUGGGAACUAGGUGUAAAAUUUGCUCAAAGAUAUGCUUUCAGGUUUCUGGAUCACAGACUUAGUGCAUAAGGCUGAAACUAGGUUUUAGUGUGUUGAGCUCCACUUUGGUGCUUCAUAAAAAUUAUUCUAAAUGUUUUCAACCUAGGGGUGCUAUACCAAAGUUGUAGAGCUAUAUCUAAGGAAUAACUUUGGUAAUGUGAGCUUGGUGUGUUGCUGUGUAAAAGUUGGAGAAAAGGUUGGCUAAAGUUGGACUGUCAGGCUGAACACAACUGAAUUUUUUCAGUUAUGUGAACUGAAUUGCAGCAGUAUGCCUAGUUUGGAAUACAUUUGUGACUGAUUCAUGGGGUUUUGGAUUAAAGUUUACAUAGAAAAGCUGGAGACCAUAGUAAAGAGAGUAAGUUUUGUAAAGUGAGGUGGACUUGGUUCCACAUAAAUUUGGAAAUAAAAGUGGCCAAAAGGUGGAUUGUCAGGUGUUAGGAUUCAGACUUAGAAUAAUAUUUAAGUCUGAAUUUGUGUGUUUAUUCAGUUUUGGGUCCUUGUGGUAAUUAAUCCAAGAAGAAUUGGGGUAAGAAUGCUAUAGCAAAGUCAAAGACCAUGUAAAGGAGAGCAAGUCUCAUGCAAAGUGUUGGCUUGCUACUUUGUAGAAUUUGGAGAAAAAUGAGUGACAAAACUCUCUGUUAGACCUAGUAAUGUGCUGUUUCAGAUUGGGAAAAUGGAUUUUCCGUGUGUUUGCUCAACUUUAAUGCACCCUAACGCUUGGUAUGUAUGGUUAUAAGCUAAAGACCUUACAGAAGAGAUUUGUAGCUGUGUUGGGUGAACAAGUUUCUUACAGAGAAAUAAGUUUGGAGCUGUAUAAAAUUUAGAAUAAAAUGUGCCUAAGUUUCUUCUGUCAGUCUGUGUGAGAUGUCUGUUUUAGAAAACUAAAAACAAGUUUAGUGGAAGGUGGCUGAAUUUUGGACACCUUAACUUGUAGUACAUGCAAUUUGGAUCCUUGCUUAAGGCAUAAAUGAAGCACUUGGUUGGUUAUGGAGGCAAGGUUUCCUAGUUUGGUUGGUGAAUUGUGUUGUGAUAUUAGAGUAUUUAGCUCUCUUAAUGUUUUGUUAGUUUUUUUGUGUGCACCUUUAGAGAGGUGUAAGUGUUGUGAUGUUUUUUUUAGUAUUUUCUUUUCAAGUUGCAUAAGCAUAAACAUCCAUGAUCAUGUCAUUUCAUAUAGAACUCCUACCAGAAGGAGUGAAGAUUCAACCUGAAGUGGUGACUGAAGAGGAAUCUACUCCAGUGCCUAUUCAUCAAGUGGAUGGAGCUAUCUAACUGGUUAUUGGGUAGAAAGGUAUUAAGUCUCUUCACUGCAACAAAGGCAAGCCCCGAUGCAUUUACCCCUUCCUUGUAUUUUUAAAAAGACUUUUAUACACUUAAGUCUAGUGAAAUGUGCAUUAAGUUUAUAGGAGUUGCUUGGAAACUAUUGGAUGCAUUGCCUACCUUGAUAUCCAUACCUUUAUAGAUACUUCUGAUGAAGUAUCAAAAUAUGAUUUACAAAAAUGCUUAGCCCUGCAUAGAUCUUGUGGAUAGAGGCUGUCUUUUGCAAUAAUGCCUAGCUCAGGGGUUAUCCCGAGGAAGGAUGGCUUCUACCUGCAAGAAUAUUUUUAUUGGAAGCGGGGUGGGAUCUUACUGCAAAGUUCCCUAUAAUGCUCUUUUCAUCCUAAGGAACACAAACAAUCCUAAGGAUGGAAGUACUUAAAUCGGGACUUGGGCUAUGGAACAGGUGAUGUUCUACCCAGGUUAGUUAAGGAUUGGAUGCGUAUGUAGGCCUGUUGAUCAAGGACUAUCUUAACUAGCCACAUGCCCUAGAAAUGGGACAGGGUAAGCUUGAACCCGACUAUUCCAUACAUGAAAAGACAAUCGCGCACUGGGAGUGGAGAGAUGGCGAGAGUGGAACGUACCCUCCUAGCAAAGGACCGCCUAAAAAGGGUGGUGUGCUCUCGGGUGGCGCGGACCUGUUCAUGCAGUGGAGGAUCCGUGGGAAUGGUAGACAUGCAAGGUUUACGAGAAACAUAUGUCGUGUGGUUAGACAUCCUCAGCUGAGUAAAUCGAUUUAGAUCGCCGUUAUAUCCCCGGAGAGUGGAGACUUGAUCUCCGACCUACAACCUAAGUCAGGAUGUAAACAUUAUGAAUAAAAAUGAUGUUGUAUUGAUGAGAUGGUGAAAUUAGACUAGAUGCUACCAGAGUCUAUUAAUAUUUAAUCCGGCGUUAAAAUAUUGAAAGUAAGGACUCACUUUAGUAAGCUAUUUCUGCAAAAGUAUCUAAGUUGAUUCUUGCUAAAGCCUUUUCCUUGAUUCCUACUUAACCAGCAUAUCCUUGAGAGUCAUUUUUCCUUAGUCGGGUAAGACUUGCGAAAGUACACUCCGUACUCAGGGUUUUCGAACCCAUGUUGUUGUAGGUGAUGAGGAGUACUCUAUAUGUUCGUGAGGCUGGAGAGCGUUUCCAGUUCUAGAGGAGGACUAGCUAGGUUUAUGUAUAAGCUUUGGAGGGUUUCUACCUUCCUGCUUUUGUAAUAAGUUAUGCACUUUGAGUAUAUCAGGACUUGUAAUAAAUAUUACUCUUUCGAAACAUGUAAAACUUGAGUUUUGAAAAGGUAAAGAAUGUUUGUAAAGUCUUCCGCUCUUUAUCUCCAAAGUGUGUGUAUCGAAUGUGAUUACUGUAAUAUGCAUGUAUGGUGGGAGAUCCUUGGGAUGAUGAGUUCAAGUGGUUGAACUCGUGAUAGCCUUGUUAAGUUAUGUGGUACACGUGCAUAGCCAUCUGAGGCCAUCAAGGCAAGGAUUGGUGCAUGUGGGCCUGAUAACUUGGGAGGGCUGCCACAGAUUGGUAUCGGAGCGAUCCCCCAUUAGCAUGGAUAUUAAAGUAAUCCUUUGAUAGACUUCAAAAGGAUUUUGAGUCGAAAUUAUUUUGAAAAACUUAAGAAUGAAUAAGCAAAUCCUGAUAGUCGAAGUGCAAAUAGUAUAUGGUUAAGUUAAGGACUAUAAGGUGGCUUAGUUAGGAUGCUAACCACUAACCCGCAACUAUAAUGCAAUUUUCUGCAGGUACACUAACUAAACCCUAGGUAAGUGUGACUAGUGAUCAAUAAUGGAGUGAGUAGGUAUGCCAUCGCCAUAGAACGUGAAAUCCACUAUAUGUUGGCAAGAAUUGUGAGGACGAAUAGGACGAGCAUGCAUCAUGACAUACAAUUUUAAGUUAAGCCCCCUAUAUUGUAGCUUAGUACAUGUUUCAUCCAUCCUAUUCAUGCUACCUAUCUUUGCUUUUCUAUACUACCUUUUCCUAUUCGUGAAGCCUUGAAACUCAGUCCAUUUGGUGGACCUGUAGUUUAUAAGGUACAGUGCUAAAGAAUUUUUCAACAGUGCACAACAUGUUCUACGUGUCCCCGUUAAAGAAAUGUCUUCGAGUCCCCAAGCAUGUUAUUGAGAUUUCAGAUGUUAACCUUGGACCAGAUUUAACCUACUUGAAAUAUCCCAUAAAGGUGUUGGAUCUAAAGGAUCAGGUCACUCGAAGAAAAGCUAUCAAGUUUUACUAGAUAUAGUGGAACCAACACAUGGAAGACGAAGCCAUAUGGGUAUCGGAGGGAUAUUUCGAAAGGCAUUCCCUGAGUUUCGAGUUCCUUGUAAAUCCUAAGGUUUGUGUAGUUGUUUCUGAUAUAAACCAAUAGGGGCACACCCCUGCUUUGUAGGAGUAAUGGGGAAAUAAGCCAGUGACGCAUUUCCUUUUCCGUUACUAAGCCUAGAGUUUUAAAUCUCGGGACGAGAUUUCUUUUUAGGGGGGGGGAAGGUUGUAACACCCCUGGUGUUACGAUAACUAAAACGCUAGCAUGUCAUCGUAAGUACUUGCAUUAUCUUGUUUGAUAUACCUAGAAUGCAUUUACUAGGUUAAAAUUUUCUUUUCAAAAGUGUGAUGUCGUGUGUUGAGUAUAAGACUUAGGUUGAAAACCUUGCUUGGAAUUGUGGAUAAACAAAAUAACUCCGAAAACAAGGACUUGUUGGGAAGGAGCUACAUAUGCUAAAGUCAGAUCUUAGACUAGAGAGUAACUUUGUUUUUGAUGGAUGGAUCAAAGGGAUGAAUCCCUGGAAGAAGCUGAAACACAGAUGAAACUCAUUUGAAAGCCUAAACUAACCCCAAAUGUGGAAUUUAAAAUCUAGAAGGAUUUAGCUAAAAGUCCAUAUACCAAGGUUGUAGAACUUGGAAAAGUGAACAAAUUUCAUAUCUGGAGAAUUCCAAGUUGUGUGGAGAAAUUUGGAGUAAUUUGCAAAAUUUCAGAUUGGGUUCAGUUUGAAUUGGGCUGAAAACAGUUUCAUAUAGCUGUUUGGACCCUUAUAACUUUUGAUCUAUGGACUUUUGGUAAGGAGUUAUUAUAACAAACUUGUAAAGUGACUGUUGGAGAACAAUCCUUAUUAAGUGUACCAGCCCUAAAACUAUAUGCAACUGGCUGAAAAAGUGGUCCAAUUUAGGGCUGUCAGAUUUCAGACUUAGUGUAAAUGCAAAUCCUGAAUUUCAGUGUUUUGGUGUAACUUUGGAGCUCUCUAUUGCUCUAUCCAUAGGGUUAUAGGUUAUGAUGAUUAUAACACAAUUAUAGAUCUAAAUGAGGAGUAUAAGUUUGAUUAAGACACUUAGCCCUAAAGUUAUUUGGAACCUAGAGAAAAGCUGGUCUAAAGUAGAGCUGUCUGAAAGUGUGGAUUUCAGACUUAGUAAAUUUCAGUCUGAAUUUCAGUAAUUUGGGCAAACUUUGGACCUCUGUAGUUUGGAAUCUAUGAGGGUUUAGAUAUGGGUCACUAUGUCAAAGUUGUAGAUGAACUAUAGGAGUAUAAACUUUAUUAAGCAACUUGCCCCUAAAACCAUAUGUUACUAGGAGUAAAGGUGGUUCAAAGUGGGGUGAGCUGAAUUCUAAAUUUUCAGAUUUAGAAUAGUGCCUAAGUCUGAAUUUCAGUGAUUGUGACAAACUUGGGAGCUUCCUUGUGCCUAAUCCAUAAGGUUUUGAACUGUGGUGUAUAUAGUGGAGUUGAAGCCCAUAUGAUGUUGAACAAGUUUAUUCAAGUGAGUUUGACAUGAUCGUACACAGAAAUUGGAGAAAAGAGAAUUGCAAAACUCCGUGUCAGGUUUAAGGUGUGCUGUUUCAAAUAACUGAAACCGAAAAUUCAGUACAUAGUGCCAAAUUCGGAGCUCUGUUGUGGUCAAUCUAUAUGGUGUUGGACUAAAGGUUCUAUGGUAAAUAUAGAGACCAAAUAAAGGGAACGAAUUCCUUGAGAAGAGUUGGAUUUGCUGCUGUGUAAAAAAUGGGUAAAAUGUCUCAAAACUUCCACUGACAGGUAUAUAGUUUCAGUCAAGCUGAAACUGAAACUUUAAGUGUUUUCAACCUAUUUUUGAAGCACUAUAACUCUUGAUCCAUAAAUCUUUGACCUAAGGCUGAUGCACAAAACUUGUAAAGGUAUGUUUGGUGAACAAGUUCCUCUAGAAAAGGUUGGCUUGGUACUGCAUAAAAAGUGGAGUAAUAGUUUCUUAAAAUAGGUGCUGUCAAACUUCUGAAUUUUUAGAUUUUGAAUAGUGUCUGAAUUCUAAGUCAGUGUUGGGAGUGCUGUUUGGGGAGCUUGUUCUGCUUAAUAAAUAAGGUUUUGGACUGAUGUUUUUGUAGAAAGUUUGAAGACCAUAUGUUAGUGAAUAAGUGUCUUUAAUUGUGUUGGGCAUGAUCCCGCACCAAAAGUGAAGUAAUGGUUGUCCAAAGUUGGACUUUCAGUCUACGGAAACUGAAGAUUAUUCAGUUAACUCUAGCUUUGGUCCAGUGUGAUUUUCCAAAUUUUUGGAGCUAUUUUGUGACUGAUCCAUGAGGUAUAAAGCUAUAAUCCUUAUGACUAGUUGGUAGAGGGUUGUUUGGUGGACAGAUUCCCUUAUGUGUGCUCCCACUGUUGUUAUGGAAAACUGAGAGAUCAAAGGGGAGUUGUUAUGGAAAACUGAGAGAUCAAAGGGGAGGAAGUAGAGUAUGCAGUCAAGUAGUACCAGUUCAGUGCUGCUCCAGAAAUAUCCGAGAAAAUAUCUGUAUCCACUAUCUGCUCGAGGGACUUCCGGAGUUUGGCAUCUAAGGAGAUAUGUUACUGAAGGGGGGGUACUUGGCACCCAUGCACACACAAAGAAGUGAUGAGGAGGUGGAAAACUUAUCCAAAUGCUGGCUAGGCUGUCUGCUGCUAUAUUGCUGCUGUCCAUGUGCGGUUGGACACAACUACUAUCUCCCUGUGUCAUGCCUUGCGUGGAAGACAUGCAGUGGAUAAGUGGAACAUAUUACCCCUUGUUUUCCCCUUCUAGGAACACCUAUGGGCGCAGGCACAAGAAGGGAACCUCCACCAAUAAGGCAACCGAGCUAGAAGAGCUGGAAGAAUAGGAAAGGAAGCAAGCAAUCAGGCAGCCGAAUUGGAAGCAAUCAGGCGAGUCCUAUCUCCAGUAUAUCAAUCAGUAGUUUCCUAUUUCUGCUAUAGCAGACAGUAGAGUUUCCUAUUUCCAUUAUAGAAAGUAAUAAGUUGAUUGGGUGUGUUCCCUGCCGCCUAUACUAUAAAGGCUGGCUGCUAGUUUGUAAUAAGGCAUCGAAGAAUAAUACAGUUACCU
Molecule: RNA transcript, 6657 nt
Organism: Zea mays
Lineage: Eukaryota; Viridiplantae; Streptophyta; Magnoliopsida; Poales; Poaceae
Exons: 2
Source: RefSeq, a predicted model, not a curated record